Lactuca sativa (garden lettuce) is the source of this 2833-nucleotide non-coding RNA. The record is from RefSeq and is a predicted model, not a curated record. NCBI's taxonomy places the organism in Eukaryota, Viridiplantae, Streptophyta, Magnoliopsida, Asterales, Asteraceae.
ACACGUAUCUUCCACCGCUUUUUCGCUUUUUCCCUAGCGGUUCCCUCCAAUGGAUUUAAUCCACAUUCGUAACACUUGCCUAAUCCUCAGCCUGAUAGGUCUCACUGCUCUGCUUCUUUGAGAAAACCACCAUUGCCUCUUUGUCCAUGUUAUGCCCACCGCCCCUCUCUCCCGAUCAGCUGCUCCACUGCUUUUGUUACCCAGUCGGGUGUUCAUCGGGUUGCUAUCUCCAUGGUCACCACCUCCACCACUUACUUCCUAUGUACGAUCCAUCUUCUUUCUUCUAAUCUCCCUCUACCUGUUAUCAGCUCCAAAUGGGUGUAGAGAAAUAACAGGUCGGAGAGGAAAACGAAGGAAUCGCCAAGGUAGUCGGCGUCUUGUUGUGUCGAAGACUAAUUCCUGUCGUUGUCGACAUAAAGGCUUUUGGGUGUCGGCUAUUUCAGGCACAUAUUUUCUUCAACGUCUGAUUCUAUAUCACUUCCUCUCCUGUCGCUUUGCUCUUUAGAUGUCUGUGGCGUGCAACGACAGAAUGUCUUCUCCACCCUGCAUCGCCCCCAUCAAAAGCGUUUCUCAUCCUCACUGUCUUCAGCUGCCAUCCUUAAAUCGUAGAUAUGUUGUUGCCUGGACUGGAAGAUGUAACACAAACUGUGGAUAUCGAUUGGUUGUAUCCAAUACAAGUGAAGGCUAUAAGCAAUUUACAGUUUGGAGUGCUCAUUAGAAAAAGGAACGCUACGUAUCGACACAGGUGACCCGUCAAUCGCGCCCGGUUGAUACGUGUUCUGUUUAAGGGCUUUUCAAGAGGAACCCGGGUAAGAGAAUCCUCCCCCGCUCUCCGCCGUAUGUCGUCGACUCCCAUGUGAAGCCUUCGACCGGUACUAUUUUUCGAUUUUUUAUAACCUUUUUUGUUUGUUAAUACUAUAGUUUUGGCAAAAAGAUCUCAAUAAACACAAAUUUAAUAAAUAGAUUUUAUAUAACAUAAGUUUUUAUGGUGAUUGAUUAUUCUAAAAUCUUCUUUUUAUAUAUCAAGCUUACAUGUAAUGAUUUAUGCCCUCGGGUACUGGAAUCCAAGUUUAAGGAGUGUUGGCAACACUAGCUGUUCCCUUCCGGUUGAUAUGCUCAUAUAAUGUAAUCAUGAAUUCCAGUUUAAAUAGUAGGGUAAAGUUUAUAAUUUUUCUCACUUCAUUCACUUGCUAUUAAUUUAAAUUAUUAUUACAAUGCUUCUUAUAUUUGUUUUUCUCAGGUUCCGCUGAUGCAUUAUCACUUAUUAUGCAGGAAGAACAUGAAGGCAUCAUUUUUUUUACUAAUGUCUAACAUGUUGAUUCUAUUCCUAAAGAAGACAAUGACUCUAUCUCUGAACCCUUGGGUGAAGAGUCUGAAUCUGUUUCAACCAAGGAACCUAGGAAUGGAAUCACCAAUUCCAUGAAGUCAAGUGAUGAUGGGAGUGGAGCUUCAAGUAGUGGACGAGCCACCAUGAAUCUUUACACCUAUACCUAUCUUGAUGAGCAACCAUGAAUCAAAUUACAUACUAUGUUCUGAAACGUUUUUAUUUUGGUAGUUUCUUUAAUGAUAGUUCUCUCAUCUUUUUUCAUUCCAGGAAAAUUAGGUGGACAUCUGCAUUAUACAAGUGAUAAUGGUGUUGACGAUUGCAGUUGCACUUGCUCUAUCUCUUCCUUCAUUCGUUACUGCUAAAACCUUCUUUUUCGUCGUUGGUACGCUUAAUAGUUUUUUUUAGCAAAACCUAAAAUUUAGUUUUCGAUCUAAUCUAAUUUAACAACAAUGGAUGUAUUGAUCUGUUUCUGGUGUUGGUUGGAGUUGGAUUAUUUAUGUUUCAUUAAAUUAAAUAAAUUUUAUAAAUCAGAAAAAAAAAAUUCAUAAGAUACAUUCAAGUUUAAUUUUUGGGUUGAAAAUUUUGAUUCGUUAAUGAAUUGUUUUAAUGAACUAUUGUGAGGACUACACUUGGGGUACGUAUGUUUUUAUUUUCAAUUCUUUCUGAAUGUUUUUUGUUUGAUUUAGGAUUUUUGAAAAUUGUGAUUUUUCAUUUUUGGUGUUGUUUUUAGUUAGCAAGUUUUGGUCCUUACCUAUGGAAGAGAAAUGUGAUAGCAAUGUCAUUUGCACCUACACAUAACCAUGAAGCACACGUUUAGUUUGCUCUUGAAAGAAGAGUGCCAACUAUCAUUCGUGUUAUAGGUUCCAUUAAAAUGUGAUUUCCUUCUAAAACUUUUCACAUGGCUCAUUGCUCCCGCUGCUUGAUUCCAUGGUAUUCAAAUGAUGGAAAGUACAUGAUGGAAAUUGACCAAGUUCUUAAACCGGGUGGGUAUUGGGUUCCGAUGAUAUUUGGUACAAGAAAAUGGAAUCGUGUGUGAGACCUGGAAGUGGAGGUGAUUAGGUGGUGUUUCUUGAACGACUUUAUGAUGCGUUCCAACUGAUGAUAGUUAGCAGUUUGAUUACGGGUCUGUCGGUUGAGAAAUAUAUGGAGGAUGGUAAAAAAAAUAGAAUAUACGUGGGAAUGGUUAUAAACGGAUGAAUGAAAUGAUUGAUUCUAGAAGGUAUCAGAAUGUAAUGGAUAUGAAUACCACUUUCGAAUGAUUUGCACUUAGAAUUCAUUCCUCCAAGUUGUGGGUUAUGAAUGUUGUUCCUACUUCUGCUGAGGCAAAUACUCUUGGAGUUUAUUUACGAGUGUGGCCUUAUUGGCAUAUAUCACAACUGGGGUGACGUGUUUUCGACGAAUGCAAAGAAGGUAUAGUAAGCACAUUAUUCGUAUUCAGCUGUUCCAUUCAGUUGGAGAUUAUAGACUUUGAAAAAAAAGAUAAUAAAAUCUCAAGAUUUAUGAUCA